AAAAUAUUUGAUUUUGACUUCUUCGUUUAACUGAACAUGAAUGUUCUCUUACUUGUUUACCUACUGAGUGAACGACUGAGUUUUAUUUGAAUGCUGGUUUUUUUGUGGUUGUGAAUAUCACUAGGAUCAAGGGCCUGUUUACUUGGAAAUCUCUACCAGAUUUAGUUUCACUUUGUGAUUACAAUUGUUAUUAUGUUAUUUAACAUCAAAUUCAUCUGUUAGCUAAUAAUCAACAAUCGUCGUAUGGAAGCUGAUGUAGUCCUAAUCAUUCUUCAAUAGUCACUAAUCUAAAUAAUGUCAGAUACUUAAACAAUCCAAACCAGACAGAUGAUAAGUACACCGUGAUAAAUUGGAUUUAAAGGACAAUUCAUUUUCAAGGUAUUGUAUCAGAUUAUUUUCAAGGGUUUGGAAUUGAGGUCAUAUUUAUUGUCUGGGGCAAAGUGCAACACUUGCUCCAUCAUUACAUAUAUGACCAUUUUUUGUUAAUUGUACUCUCUAUAUGUUACACAAGUUGUUGGCAAGAGACUUGUAUCUUAUUAU
Molecule: long non-coding RNA, 540 nt
Filed under: Solanum tuberosum (potato)
Lineage: Eukaryota; Viridiplantae; Streptophyta; Magnoliopsida; Solanales; Solanaceae
Description: long non-coding RNA (STUB_LNC005217)
Source: RNAcentral